CGCGGAUGUAGGACCGACCCGGGGACCGCCGGGGCAACCCGGCGCCCCCGAGACGGGGCGAACCACGGUGAAAAUGACGGAUCGUCGGCCCCGCGCCGGCGACUCGCCGAAUGAGUUUCUGACCUAUCAACUCGAGACGGCGGGGUAGAGGCCCGCCGCGGUAACGACGGGUAACGGGGAAUCAGGGUUCGAUUCCGGAGAGGGGAGCCCGAGAAACGGCUACCACUUCCAAGGAAGGCAGCAGGCGCGCAACUUACCCUAAUCUCGAUUCGAGGAGGUAGUGACAAGAAAUACCGAUGCGGGGACCCCUACGGGGUGCCGCGUUUCGGAAUGAGUACGAUUCGAACCACCUAACGAGGAACGAUCGGAGGGCAAGUCUGGUGCCAGCAGCCGCGGUAAUUCCAGCUCCAAUAGCGUACGUUAAAGUUGCUGCAGUUAAAAAGCUCGUAGUUGAACGUUCGGGUUCCGCGGGACGGGGCCGCCCCGCGAGGGACGGCGCCGCCCCGGGGCUCGUGAUAUCUCAUCUCGCCGCCCGUCGCGAGGCGGACGGAGGGAUGGAUGAGGUUACCUGGAAAAAAUCGGGGC
Molecule: ribosomal RNA, 585 nt
Filed under: uncultured eukaryote
Lineage: Eukaryota
Description: bacterial SSU rRNA
Rfam family: Eukaryotic small subunit ribosomal RNA
Source: RNAcentral